Molecule: ribosomal RNA, 492 nt
Filed under: uncultured bacterium
Lineage: Bacteria
Description: partial 16S ribosomal RNA
Rfam family: Bacterial small subunit ribosomal RNA
Source: RNAcentral
AGUGAACGCUGGCGGUAGGCCUAACACAUGCAAGUCGAACGGCAGCACAGUAAGAGCUUGCUCUUACGGGUGGCGAGUGGCGGACGGGUGAGGAAUACAUCGGAAUCUACUUUUUCGUGGGGGAUAACGUAGGGAAACUUACGCUAAUACCGCAUACGACCUACGGGUGAAAGCUGGGGAUCUUCGGACCUUGCGCGAUUGAAUGAGCCGAUGUCGGAUUAGCUAGUUGGCGGGGUAAAGGCCCACCAAGGCGACGAUCCGUAGCUGGUCUGAGAGGAUGAUCAGCCACACUGGAACUGAGACACGGUCCAGACUCCUACGGGAGGCAGCAGUGGGGAAUAUUGGACAAUGGGCGCAAGCCUGAUCCAGCCAUACCGCGUGGGUGAAGAAGGCCUUCGGGUUGUAAAGCCCUUUUGUUGGGAAAGAAAAGCAGCAGGUUAAUACCCCGCUGUUCUGACGGUACCCAAAGAAUAAGCACCGGCUAACUUCGUG